This 253-nucleotide ribosomal RNA is filed under the name uncultured bacterium. RNAcentral describes it as "partial 16S ribosomal RNA". It matches the Rfam family "Bacterial small subunit ribosomal RNA", at positions 524 to 776 of the family's 1533-position model. The record is from RNAcentral.
UACGGAGGAGGCAAGCGUUAUCCGGAAUUAUUGGGCGUAAAGCGUCCGUAGGUGGUUCACCAAGUCUGCUGUCAAAGGGUGGGGCUUAACCUCAUAAAGGCAGUGGAAACUGGUGAGCUAGAGUGUGGUAGGGGUAAGGGGAAUUCCCAGUGUAGCGGUGAAAUGCGUAGAGAUUGGGAAGAACAUCGGUGGCGAAAGCGCCUUACUGGGCCUGCACUGACACUGAGGGACGAAAGCUAGGGGAGCGAAAGGG